Molecule: ribosomal RNA, 160 nt
Filed under: uncultured bacterium
Lineage: Bacteria
Description: partial 16S ribosomal RNA
Rfam family: Bacterial small subunit ribosomal RNA
Source: RNAcentral
UGGGGAAUUUUGGACAAUGGGGGCAACCCUGAUCCAGCCAUGCCGCGUGAGUGAAGAAGGCCUUCGGGUUGUAAAGCUCUUUCGGCGGGGAAGAAAACGUACUGGUGAAUACCCAGUGCGGAUGACGGUACCCGCAUAAGAAGCACCGGCUAACUACGUG